This 531-nucleotide ribosomal RNA is filed under the name uncultured bacterium. RNAcentral describes it as "partial 16S ribosomal RNA". It matches the Rfam family "Bacterial small subunit ribosomal RNA", at positions 355 to 895 of the family's 1533-position model. The record is from RNAcentral.
UGGGGAAUAUUGCACAAUGGGCGCAAGCCUGAUGCAGCAACGCCGCGUGAGGGAUGACGGCCUUCGGGUUGUAAACCUCUUUUAGCAGGGAAGAAGCGAAAGUGACGGUACCUGCAGAAAAAGCACCGGCUAACUACGUGCCAGCAGCCGCGGUAAUACGUAGGGUGCAAGCGUUGUCCGGAAUUAUUGGGCGUAAAGAGCUCGUAGGCGGUCUGUCGCGUCUGCUGUGAAAUCCCCGAGGCUCAACCUCGGGCCUGCAGUGGGUACGGGCAGACUAGAGUGCGGUAGGGGAGAAUGGAACUCCUGGUGUAGCGGUGGAAUGCGCAGAUAUCAGGAAGAACACCGAUGGCGAAGGCAGUUCUCUGGGCCGUAACUGACGCUGAGGAGCGAAAGCGUGGGGAGCGAACAGGAUUAGAUACCCUGGUAGUCCACGCCGUAAACGUUGGGCGCUAGAUGUGGGGACCAUUCCACGGUUUCCGUGUCGCAGCUAACGCAUUAAGCGCCCCGCCUGGGGAGUACGGCCGCAAGGCU